RNAcentral lists this ribosomal RNA (497 nucleotides) under uncultured bacterium. Its description in RNAcentral is "partial 16S ribosomal RNA". It matches the Rfam family "Bacterial small subunit ribosomal RNA", at positions 28 to 507 of the family's 1533-position model. The record is from RNAcentral.
GUUGAACGCUGGCGGCGUGCCCUAUACAUGCAAGUCGAGCGGCCGGGCGAGCUUCUUGCUUUUCUGAUGUUACCGGCGGGCGGGUAAGUAAUCCGUGGAUAACCUACCUAUGAGACUAGGAUGACUUAGGCAAACCGGAGCUAAUACAGGAUAAUAUUUUGAACCGCAUGGUUCAAAAGUGAAAGACGGUCUUGAUGUCACUUAUACAUGGUUCCUCGCUGCAUUAGCUAGUUGGUAAGGUAACGGCUUACCAAGGCAACGAUGCGUAGCCGACCUGAGAGGAUGACCGGCCACACUGGAACUGAGACACGGCCCAGACUCCUACGGGAGGCAGCAGUAGGGAAUCUUGCGCAAUGGGCGAAAGCCUGACGGAGCAACGCCGCGUGAGGGAUGAAGGUCUUCGGAUCGUAAACCUCUGUUAUUAGGGAAGAACAUCUGUGUAAGAAACUGUGCACAGCUUGACGGUACCGGAACAGAAAGCCACGGCUAACUACGUG